AUGUCAAGUGGUCACGCACGCACGGUUCGUCUCGUACCCAAUAUCGAUCGAUCGAUCCGUCUCGUCUCGAUCAGCAUGCAGCGUGUGUCGGAGAAAAACGCCCUCGGCCCGUACGCGCACGUACCUCCCGCCGCAUUCCGUAGCCACACCUACGACGCUACGACUGCUGCUGCUGCUACACGGAGGGGGAGGAGGAGGAGGAUGAUGAGACGCGCGCGCACCAGCCGUGCCGCGCGCAGGUGCAGAGAACCAACCACAUCGUGCGCACGUGGCGGGGCGGGGCGGCGGUCCUGUGUUUUCGUGCAGGUUCAUUGCACUCCACGCGUGCGCGCGCGCGACACCUCGCAUGCAUCUCGAUCGGUCGAUCGAUCCUCUCGUGGUAAAGGUACCUUGUUCGCCGGCAGCCCCUAA
This 411-nucleotide ribosomal RNA is filed under the name Triticum aestivum (bread wheat). RNAcentral describes it as "partial small subunit ribosomal RNA". Lineage: Eukaryota; Viridiplantae; Streptophyta; Magnoliopsida; Poales; Poaceae. The record is from RNAcentral.